Cinara cedri is the source of this 1189-nucleotide non-coding RNA. Lineage: Eukaryota; Metazoa; Arthropoda; Insecta; Hemiptera; Aphididae. The record is from the annotation of a GenBank genome assembly.
AAUGCAUGAUAAGCAUUACAUUUUUUUCUAGUAUACAACUUAUAGUUAUCAAUAAUUCAAUAUCAUACAUUUUAUUUGACAUAAUUUUAAAAUCGACUUCAGACAAACUAAACUACGAUUCAGUCCCAUGUGCGCUGAGCGGAAACGAAUUAUUCAAAACGCCAGCACACGGUUGUUGUCUGAUUGACAUGGCUGAGAAUGAUAUGGGACUCGAGUUCCAUGAAGUUAUACUUGUAACUCUAGCACUCUAGGAUUUUCUCAUGAUUUUCGAUUCUUGACGACUUUUCGCAAUUUCUCGGCACCUUCUUUUAUUUUGAUCUCGCGUCGGACCACCCGCCUAAUGGCUUCCUUCAGCUCGUCCAAUUGAGCAGGAGUUAACUAACGUAUCGAUGGAAGAUAGGUCGGGAAUCGCAUGGUCAUUGUUUUUCACUAAACCGUACUCGAAACCCAAUUCGUAUGGAACGAGAUUGCACGUUUGUUUACACUGAAACUAAUGUAUCAUAAUUAAAUUAAACUAAUAUUUCUUAUUAAAUUAUUAACACAAUAAAAAUAAACAAAUUUUAUUAAAAACAGUAUUUCACUUACUUUCUCAGGAAUGCAGCAUAUUAUCAUAUUACUGAGAAAACGAAAUCCUUUAAAUAAGGUAAAAAUUAACUUAAUCAUAUUGGAUACUGUAUAUAUUACUUAUAUUACUUAUUUUUUUGUAUUUUAUAUACCUAGAUACUAAUAUUGAAGUAUAUAUUUAUGCAUUUUUUAAAAACAAACAGUAGGUGCAUUAAAAAUAAAUUAUAACCGUGAGAUUUUGUCAACGCAAUGUGCGUAAAAGUAAUAGAAAUAAUAUUAUUACAACGGAAAUAUACGCUGUGUAUAUAUAUUGUCUAUGUUUUACCCCUUAAAAGAAAAAUCUAAUUAUAAUUAUUAUUAUGUAUUUUUUAUUACACAAGAUAUUAUUAAUUUAAAUUAUUUUUGUCUAUACGACUGUCUAUAUAAUAGUUUUCUUGUUUUCAAACACAAUGAUAUACAGCAUUUUAUAAGUAUUUUAUUUUAACUAAUAGUAAUUAGUAUUACAUAUUGUAUAACAGUUUAAUUUUCUGUGUAGGAACUCAUCUACUCCAAGUACAGGAUUUAGAAAGGUUUUUGUCAUAUUCAGUUAUUUUGUACAUACUUAUAUUUUCUUGGUUAUAUGAUG